Molecule: transfer RNA, 86 nt
Filed under: Crassvirales sp.
Lineage: Duplodnaviria; Heunggongvirae; Uroviricota; Caudoviricetes; Crassvirales
Description: tRNA-Leu
Rfam family: tRNA
About the family: Transfer RNA (tRNA) molecules are approximately 80 nucleotides in length. Their secondary structure includes four short double-helical elements and three loops (D, anti-codon, and T loops). Further hydrogen bonds mediate the characteristic L-shaped molecular structure. tRNAs have two regions of fundamental functional importance: the anti-codon, which is responsible for specific mRNA codon recognition, and the 3' end, to which the tRNAs corresponding amino acid is attached (by aminoacyl-tRNA synthetases). tRNAs cope with the degeneracy of the genetic code in two manners: having more than one tRNA (with a specific anti-codon) for a particular amino acid; and 'wobble' base-pairing, i.e. permitting non-standard base-pairing at the 3rd anti-codon position.
Source: RNAcentral
GGCUCAGUGGUGGAAUUGGUAGACAUGAGGGACUUAAAAUCCCUUGGGCAGCAAUGCCCGUAAGGGUUCGAGUCCCUUUUGAGCUA